GACGAACGCUGGCGGCGUGCUUAACACAUGCAAGUGGAGCGACGAACCGGGCUUCGGCCCGGGGCAAAGCCGCGAACGGGUGAGUAACACGUGGGUUACCUGCCCCGAUGACUGGGACAACCCGGGGAAACCCGGGCUAAUACCGGAUGUGCCCUAAGGGGGAAAGGAAGCUUCGGCCUCCGCAUCGGGAUGGGCCCGCGGCCCAUUAGCUUGUUGGUGAGGGUAACGGCCCACCAAGGCUUCGAUGGGUAGCUGGUCUGAGGGGACGAUCAGCCACACUGGGACUGAGACACGGCCCAGACUCCUACGGGAGGCAGCAGUGGGGAAUCUUGCGCAAUGCGCGAAAGCGUGACGCAGCAACGCCGCGUGGGGGAAGACGGCC
Molecule: ribosomal RNA, 382 nt
Filed under: uncultured bacterium
Lineage: Bacteria
Description: bacterial SSU rRNA
Rfam family: Bacterial small subunit ribosomal RNA
Source: RNAcentral